UAUGAGUGAGGAGUGUGAGAAGAGAAAGCAUCCAUGGGGGAGGGCCAAGGCAUCUGAGCUUUGCGUGUUCUGGCCAGUGCUCUUGAGAUUCAGUAAAGGCAAGUUUACAACUAAUAUCUAAUUUACUUAAAAGUGUCAUAAAAUUCUUAAGUUAUUAUAGUAUCUAAUUUAUUUGUACCUAAAGUAUCUGCUGUGGAAUCUCAACUUUAUCUUAUGCAAGCAUGAUAGUCACAAAAUUCUUUUCAACUGCAACCAAAGGUGAAAGAGGAUGCUGACCCAUCCCUUCUAUGGGCUUCUCAGUUGAUUGAUAGUCAUACUUCAUCAUGGCCUUUCCAUUAGUCCCUUAAGGAUAAGCAACUGGCGAAUAAACGCCUCCAACGGAUUAUUCCAUCAGCUGCAAGAGUACAAGUAAUCAGCUACUCAUUUGUUUUGCAAGUGAACCGCAUGCAUUUGCCAACUCAGAAGGAUCCACCCAGUGCCAUGGUUAUGGGAGAGAUCCAAUCUUUGUAAGCUACUGAGUUCACCAAAAGAUCUUGGGACCUUUCCUGUAAGCAUAUUGGAGGACAAAUUCAAAGUCUUCAGAUUUGUGCAAUUUGAAAGGGAAGGAGGAACUGAAUCCACUACAAAUGAAAUAUAUAAAUUACAAAAGUAAUAAUAACAUCCUAGAAUUUUGCUGAAAUUUCAAUGGAGUUUCCUUUGUAACCAAAUCAAAACCCAUGUGAAGGAAGAAAUUUGCAACACGGUAGUCUUGAACCCACAACAAUUAUCAAAAUGCCCAUCUAGGGCCUACUAGAAACUUAAGUGCAAAUUAAAAUCUUCAUUUUCAACUCAGGUCUCUAAACUCUAGUUAGUCUAAAUAAUUCUUUCUAGUUCUCCAAAAUUUAUGAAAAUAUUCCUAGAGAUCCUUUUCAAUAUCCUCCAAUUCUUAGAUUUUGUUUUGCUUAAUUUCAUUAAACUAUAAAUAUUUUAUGAAGCAAUUUUUAAUUCUAGUUUGAUGCCAAAACUAGAGAAAUUUUUGGAUUCAAAAUAGUGGGUUGAAAUCUUUGGAAUUUAAGAGGAGAGAAAAAAAUUACGAUGAGUUAACUAUUAUUUGAUAGUAUGAUAGUCGAACAUCCUUAUUUGAUAGGGAUAAUACUGAAUAAGGUGAGCUCACACUCAACACACAAACUAUAGGCUAAAUCACUCCACGCUAAACCGAAAUAACGUCACAUAUCUCAAUUAGUAAUUCUCUCAUUAUCUUACCUUUUUGGUGAUUUCUCGAGACAAACACCAACUUACACAUUACCUAACACCAUAGAUUUUUUUUGUCUGCAACAAAUUGGUGGAAGCGUGGUUGGCCAACAAGGAUUUUAGAAGAGCCUGGGACACGUGGGAAGGAGCCAGCAGACUCUGGCUGGCCAACGAAACUUCCAGAAAGGUCUGGUUGGCAUACGGAGGAGUCAGAGGGGUCUGGUUGGCCCACGAAAUUUCUGGAAUAGGCCAGAAGCGCCCAAAAUAGGCUGGAGUCUGCCAAAACAGGCCAAAAGCUUUUAGGAACCAGCAAGGCAACAGGUUCUCAGCAGGCAGCAUAGGUUCCACGUGCUGGUUGGCCAAUAGAAAUUCUCCAGGGGUAUGAAAUUACGGUUUAGUCCCUGAAACUUUUGAAAGGAGAAUUCUGGCCACAAAUUGGUGAAGCAUUUCCCACCACAUGCUAAGGAGGUGGAGUUGCCUAUAAAUAGGGCAACUCAGGUAGAUGGUAGAAGCCCUUCCAGAAGAAGAAGCCCUUCCAGAGAGAAGCUCCUUCCCAACUCAGAAUCUCCCUUCCCUAUUUUGAGAGUCUCCCAGCAGUGAGGAGUGUGCAGUAGCAAUUCUGCCGGCUAAGAGCAGAAUGCUGCUGGCUAGCCAAGUGGGGAACAUCAGUGGCUAGCCAGCCAGCCAAGCAGUAGGCAGCAACAGGCUGAGUGGGCAAUAACCACUCCAGCAGAGAAAGUGGUGAGCUGUGAGAGCCCUUUCCUAAUAAUGUACCUUUGUACCCCCUUUUGUACAUGUUAAGCUUGUAUUGUAAUUGUCAAUUGUUUGAGUGAAUGAAGCUCUUUAUUUUUCCUUCCA
Manihot esculenta (cassava) is the source of this 2088-nucleotide long non-coding RNA. RefSeq lists it as uncharacterized. Lineage: Eukaryota; Viridiplantae; Streptophyta; Magnoliopsida; Malpighiales; Euphorbiaceae. The transcript has 2 exons. The record is from RefSeq and is a predicted model, not a curated record.